AGCGAACGCUGGCGGCAGGCCUAACACAUGCAAGUCGAACGAACUCUUCGGAGUUAGUGGCGGACGGGUGAGUAACACGUGGGAACGUGCCUUUUGGUUCGGAAUAACUCAGGGAAACUUGUGCUAAUACCGAAUGUGCCCUUCGGGGGUAAGAUUUAUCGCCAUUAGAGCGGCCCGCGUCUGAUUAGCUAGUUGGUGAGGUAACGGCUCACCAAGGGGACGAUCAGUAGCUGGUCUGAAAGGAUGACCAGGCACACCGGGACUGAGACACGGCCCCGACCUCCGACGGAGGACGGAAGUGGGAAAGCUGCCGCAAGGGGGAAAGGCCGACGUCGCCCUUGCGGGUUGAUUUGUGAGGUUCUAAGAAUGGAAAAGUCCUUUCACCGGGAACAUUAUGACGGUAACCUGAAAAAAAGGCCCGGCUAACUUCGUG
Molecule: ribosomal RNA, 433 nt
Filed under: uncultured bacterium
Lineage: Bacteria
Description: partial 16S ribosomal RNA
Rfam family: Bacterial small subunit ribosomal RNA
Source: RNAcentral